AUGUCUUUUGAAGAUAAAGCAAUGGCUAGUCGUAUCACCUCGCCCUCAUCAAAAGCUACGGUAUCAGAAUCAGAUCUUCGGAUAAUAAAUGUUGCAUCAAAUGUGGAUCAUUCUCAAGCAAAUAACCAGGCAAGUGCAGUCCUCGGUCCAGUGGCUAUCUUUUGGGACAUUGAGAACUGCCCUGUUCCAAGUGAUGUACGGCCAGAUGAUGUUGCUGGGAAUAUACGGAUGGCAUUACGGCUGCAUCCUGUUGUUAACGGUGCAGUUACAGUUCUCUCUGCUUAUGGAGAUUUCAAUGCUUUCCCUAGAAGACUCAGGGAGGGAUGUCAGAGAACCGGAGUCAAACUUGUCGAUGUUCCAAAUGGGCGGAAAGAUGCUGCUGAUAAGGCUAUACUGGUAGAUAUGUUUCUCUUUGCUCUGGACAAUCAUCCACCGUCAUCCAUUAUGCUUAUAUCUGGUGAUGUGGACUUCGCUCCCGCUCUCCAUAUACUUGGUCAGCGUGGAUACACUAUUGCCCUUGCGAUUCCAUCUUCAGUUACCGUCUCAUCGGCUUUGAGCAGUGCUGGGAGUUUCGUGUGGGACUGGCCUAGUCUUGCCCGUGGUGCAGGCAGUGUACCCCCCAGAUCCUUAGGGCAUCGUGCUGCUGAUCCUUUAGUCUGUCCUAACAGUGUAACACCGGGGAAAUUUCCUGACAUACAGACUGAAGAGGAGGCCAUUGCUUAUAUGGGAACUUUUAGGAAUGAAUAUAGUGGCAGAACAACCAGCAACCAGAUUAAUUGCUAUAACUCUUCACAGGUCACCAGGGAAUCAUGCAAAGCUUUCUGCACUCUGGCGGAUGGCAGUUGUGGCACCGGCACGUCAUCGAGGUCACAUCAUGUAUCAGGUGGUUUGAAUGAAGUCCCAGUGAUAGACCAAGGAUUUACAGGCGAACAAUCAUGGUGGGUUCGUCCCGGUGAUCUUCAAGGCUUGAAGGGUCAACUAAUAAGGUUAUUUCAGUUAUCUGGUGGAUCUGUUCCACUUGUCCGUGUUCCUUCAGAGUAUUUAAAGCUGUUCGGAAGGCACCUGUAUGUAGCAGAAUAUGGAGCUGUAAAACUUGUUCAUCUUUUCGAAAAGCUGGCUGAGUCUUUUGUUGUCAUAGGGAAGGGUCAGAGGAAGAUGAUUUGCCUACGCAAUUCUGCUGAUAGGAACAUGAAGAAAUAUCCAAGCACACCAAUAAUUUUGAAAAAUGAAAAGAGAUUGAAUGCUACUCUCGAGGAAGGUACUAGUGAAACAUGUCAGCAGUUGAGCAGCUCAUCAGAAGAUCUCUCAGAGGAUGAACAGAACAUUAACCCUGACGUAGAUGGAGCAUAUGUGUUUGAUAGCCAUCUAUACAAGUGCAGAACAGAGGUCGAGGCUCUUCUUGUCUGUUACUUGUCGUGCCCUCUUCCACUCUCUCAUUUUGAAUCCCUGUAUGAGCAACGGUACAAGAAGACUCUCGACUACCAGAGCUGUGGAGUUGAUGGUCUGGAGGAACUGCUUAACAAGUUAAAAGAUGUUGUCGAAUUGAAUGUAAAUGAGAUCAGCAACAUGAAGUUCAUCAAAGCCAAGUCACCAAAAUGUAGUCCCUCAAAGCCAUGUUAA
This 1620-nucleotide ribosomal RNA is filed under the name Triticum aestivum (bread wheat). RNAcentral describes it as "partial small subunit ribosomal RNA". The record is from RNAcentral. Lineage: Eukaryota; Viridiplantae; Streptophyta; Magnoliopsida; Poales; Poaceae.